This 529-nucleotide long non-coding RNA is filed under the name Zostera marina. Its description in RNAcentral is "long non-coding RNA (ZMAR_LNC001021)". Lineage: Eukaryota; Viridiplantae; Streptophyta; Magnoliopsida; Alismatales; Zosteraceae. The record is from RNAcentral.
UUGAAUUCUGAAGGUUCAGAAUUUGAAUUUCAAUGUAUGUACUUUAAUUUUAUUUACUUAUAUAUCACCGUACCUUAUAAAAAAAGGUAUAUUACUGCAAUCGACUACCGUGAUGACGACGAUGGAAGUCACGAAGCAGCGAAUGUAGAAUUACAAUCCGUGAUGUCGCGAAUCUAAGCCGACGAAACUCGUCGCGAUGAUUGAGUUAGAACGAACUCGUCGCGAUGAUUGAGUUAGAACGAACUCGUCGCAAUGAAUGAAAUCGACAAACGGAAUCCACGAUUAAUCGACAGAAACAAAUCGGACAGAAUCGCCACAAAAAUCAAAUCGGAAUUGACGAUGAACAAAUAAAAAUCGCUCAAAUCCAAGAAUCGUCUAAUCGGAAAACCGGAAAAAAAACAAUUUAGAAACACUGGGAUAACGCGAUUUGUAAACGGAAGCAAGAUCUUUACCUGCAAUCGAAAGAGAGUCCAACUGAUACCAUGUGAGAUUGCUCAAUCCUUGGUGGGAGCGGUAGAUCUUAGAGAAC